GCCCACGUAGCUCAGUUGGCAGAGCACGUCCUUGGUAAGGACGAGGUCUCCGGUUCGAGCCCGGACGUGGGCUCCA
This 76-nucleotide transfer RNA is filed under the name Chloroflexota bacterium. Its description in RNAcentral is "Chloroflexi bacterium (soil metagenome) tRNA-Thr". It matches the Rfam family "tRNA". Rfam says of the family: Transfer RNA (tRNA) molecules are approximately 80 nucleotides in length. Lineage: Bacteria; Bacillati; Chloroflexota. The record is from RNAcentral. RNAcentral also lists the same sequence under 4 other names.